Molecule: long non-coding RNA, 237 nt
Organism: Manis javanica (Malayan pangolin)
Lineage: Eukaryota; Metazoa; Chordata; Mammalia; Pholidota; Manidae
Source: RefSeq, a predicted model, not a curated record
GUAAAAAAAAAACAACUGAAAAAAGGAAGGUGAAUCAAUCUGUGCCCAGCCCUGGGGGUAACUGAUGAGGAGAUGGAAGGUGGGUGUGGAGAGCUACUCAUCCUGCGGCCAUCCAGGACAAGCCUCAAAAAUUGGGGUACUGUGAUUUUGGGAGGGAGACCAGAGAAGAUGCCAUUUUCAUCAUAUCACAUCAAGGGUAUCUACUGUCAAUGUGAUAUGACUGUUGAUGUUCACCUU